GGAUAAUCUGCCCUAAGGUCAGGCAUAACACCGGGAAACUGGUGAUAAUUCCUGAUAUACCAUAGAUACUGGAAUGUUCUGUGGUCAAAAGCUCCGGCGCCUUAGGAUGAAUCUGCGGCCUAUCAGGUCGUAGUGGGUGUAACGUACCUACUAGCCGACGACGGGUACGGGUUGUGAGAGCAAGAGCCCGGAGAUGGAUUCUGAGACAUGAAUCCAGGCCCUACGGGGCGCAGCAGGCGCGAAAACUUUACAAUGCGGGAAACCGCGAUAAGGGGACACUGAGUGCCAGCAUACAAUGUUGGCUGUCCGCAUGUAUAAAUAGCAUGUGUUAGCAAGGGCCGGGCAAGACCGGUGCCAGCCGCCGCGGUAACACCGGCGGCCCGAGUGGUGGCCACUAUUAUUGGGUCUAAAGGGUCCGUAGCCGGUUUGAUCAGUCUUCCGGGAAAUCUGACAGCUCAACUGUUAGGCUUCCGGGGGAUACUGUCAGACUUGGGACCGGGAGAGGUAAGAGGUACUACAGGGGUAGGAGUGAAAUCUUGUAAUCCUUGUGGGACCACCAGUGGCGAAGGCGCCUUACCAGAACGGGUCCGACGGUGAGGGACGAAAGCUGGGGGCACGAACCGGAUUAGAUACCCGGGUAGUCCCAGCCGUAAACGAUGCUCGCUAGGUGUCUGGGAUGGUGCGACCGUUUCAGGUGCCGCAGGGAAGCCGUGAAGCGAGCCACCUGGGAAGUACGGCCGCAAGGCUGAAACUUAAAGGAAUUGGCGGGGGAGCACUACAACGGGUGGAGCCUGCGGUUU
RNAcentral lists this ribosomal RNA (800 nucleotides) under uncultured archaeon. RNAcentral describes it as "bacterial SSU rRNA". It matches the Rfam family "Archaeal small subunit ribosomal RNA", at positions 102 to 903 of the family's 1478-position model. The record is from RNAcentral.